GGGGGUGUAGCUCAGCUGGGAGAGCACCUGCUUUGCAAGCAGGGGGUCAGGAGUUCGAUUCUCCUCAUCUCCA
This 73-nucleotide transfer RNA is filed under the name Ruminococcus sp. CAG:57. It matches the Rfam family "tRNA". Rfam says of the family: Transfer RNA (tRNA) molecules are approximately 80 nucleotides in length. The record is from Rfam by way of RNAcentral. Lineage: Bacteria; Bacillati; Bacillota; Clostridia; Eubacteriales; Oscillospiraceae.